UUCCUAAAGAACUAAUUUUAGGUAAAACCUGCUCAAUGUAAUAUUAAUAGCCGCAGGAAAUUUACUGUGCUAAGGUAGCAUAAUCAUUAGCCUUUUAAUUAAAGACUAGAAUGAAAGGUUUAACACUUCAAAUAUUUUUCUCAAUCUUAAUUUGAAAUUUUAUUAAUUAUAAAAAUAUAAUUAUAAAAAAAUUAGACGACAAGACCCUAUUAAACUUUACUCAAGUUAAGCUGGGGAAGCUACUCAAUAAUUACUUUGAAAAUAGAACUUACAUAAAAUUCCAAUAAAAUUGAAUUUAACAAGUUACUAUAGGGAUAACAGCGUUAUCUUGUUUUUUAGUUCUUAUUUAAAAUAAGUAUUGCGACCUCGAUGUUGAAUAAUUUUACUUUUAUGAGCAAAAUCUUAAUAAGUAAGACUGUUCGUCUUUUAAAAAAUUACA
This 439-nucleotide ribosomal RNA is filed under the name Meringa sp. CG193. Its description in RNAcentral is "partial 16S ribosomal RNA". It matches the Rfam family "Bacterial large subunit ribosomal RNA", at positions 1831 to 2600 of the family's 2925-position model. The record is from RNAcentral. Lineage: Eukaryota; Metazoa; Arthropoda; Arachnida; Araneae; Synotaxidae.